Molecule: ribosomal RNA, 610 nt
Filed under: Curvularia lunata
Lineage: Eukaryota; Fungi; Ascomycota; Dothideomycetes; Pleosporales; Pleosporaceae
Description: partial 26S ribosomal RNA
Rfam family: Eukaryotic large subunit ribosomal RNA
Source: RNAcentral
AUCAAUUAAGCGGAGGAAAAGAAACCAACAGGGAUUGCCCUAGUAACGGCGAGUGAAGCGGCAACAGCUCAAAUUUGAAAUCUGGCUCUUUCAGAGUCCGAGUUGUAAUUUGCAGAGGGCGCUUUGGCUUUGGCAGCGGUCCAAGUUCCUUGGAACAGGACGUCACAGAGGGUGAGAAUCCCGUACGUGGUCGCUAGCUAUUGCCGUGUAAAGCCCCUUCGACGAGUCGAGUUGUUUGGGAAUGCAGCUCUAAAUGGGAGGUAAAUUUCUUCUAAAGCUAAAUAUUGGCCAGAGACCGAUAGCGCACAAGUAGAGUGAUCGAAAGAUGAAAAGCACUUUGGAAAGAGAGUCAAACAGCACGUGAAAUUGUUGAAAGGGAAGCGCUUGCAGCCAGACUUGCUUGCAGUUGCUCAUCCGGGCUUUUGCCCGGUGCACUCUUCUGUAGGCAGGCCAGCAUCAGUUUGGGCGGUGGGAUAAAGGUCUCUGACACGUUCCUUCCUUCGGGUUGGCCAUAUAGGGGAGACGACAUACCACCAGCCUGGACUGAGGUCCGCGCAUCUGCUAGGAUGCUGGCGUAAUGGCUGUAAGCGGCCCGUCUUGAACCAACGGA